Molecule: long non-coding RNA, 1311 nt
Organism: Homo sapiens (human)
Lineage: Eukaryota; Metazoa; Chordata; Mammalia; Primates; Hominidae
Exons: 2
Source: RefSeq, a predicted model, not a curated record
AGAGUAUUUACAGAAGGCCUGUGUGUCAGAAGUCAGCCCUGUGGCAGGAGGCAGAAGCUGGGAUGGGUGCCCACAAAGGAAGCCUUAUUUUCCAAGGCAGCCAGAGAAUCAUGGGUCUGAACUUAUCCCGUCUUCUCAGAUGGAGGACUAAGACCCAGAAAGAGGGAGGAAUUUGUCCAAGCUCUCCCAGUGAGCUGAUGCCAGAGCCAGGACUAGAACUCAGGUCUCCCAAUUCUCAGCACAGUGUGAUUUUCCUUGCAGAAUGUUGAUGCUCAAAGAACAGGAACCCCAGAACCCCAGGGAGGUAAGGAAGAAGAGCACAGCCAGGAUCAGAAGAGUGAAGAAACAAUGAUGUCCCACAGGCAAGGAUGCCCACACAGAAUGACUUUGGGGGGACUGCCAGUUAUUUUGUAUGGAAGGCUGAAGGUAGUGGCAGGAGACUUGUUAGGCCUUGCACUGGUGAGGCUGGUGGGGAACAGAUGUUCAAGGGCCUGGAAAACUGUGCUGAACAGUUUGGGUUUUCUUUCAUAGACCAUGGGGGUGAGGUGGGACUUGAAGGCCUUUGAUCGGGGGACACAUGUGUUUAGAUCUGAAUUUUAGGAAGGCCCCUCAGGUGGCCAGGCUAGGUGAGGUGAGCAGAGGACUUGGUAGUGGAAGGCUUCUCUUGCUGUGACUGCCUAUUUGUAUGUCUGACUGGGCGCUGUCUCACUGGCAGGAGGUGGCAGGCCCAGGGAUGCUGGACAGUAUGUGGUUCACCACUUGGGGUAGCCAAGAGUAGCAAGGGGUGAGGUGGGUUCAACUCACAAACCUGAAGCUCUUGGUAAAUACUGCUUACUUUUCAGGUCACAGGGAGUAAGUAGCUGCUCUAGGGGUGAACCCAAGAGUGGUGAUUCACUGUCCAAACUACUGGCUGGAGGAGAGCUCGUGGUGGUCAUGUGUUUGUCAACCUGUUCCAGCUCUUCCCAACUAUGGCAGUGGCUAUGGCCUAACAGCUGGAGGCAGGAACAGGGCAGUGACAAGAAUCAGCAACUGCAUAGGGGCCUCAUCAAUUUCCAGUCCUCCAUCCAGAAGAGGACAGGACAUGCUCAAGCUGCCCCAAAGAGAAAGGACAAAGGAGAGGAAUUCUGAGAUGCAAGUCCCUAUGGAAGAGGGGACAGAGUUAAAUUCCAGCAGUCCAACAGACUAUGGCUAGAGCCAUAGUCUUCUCUUACCUGUAUCUUUAACGUUCAGCUUACUAUUGGUUCCUUAUUAUCUCCUGUUAGUGAGGUUCCUUUCAAAAACAAUAAAACAAAACAAUAUUUUCCCGCUCAA